CUUCAGAACCUGACGGGCAGGAACAUCUCUGACUACCUGGUGAAGACCUAUCCACAGAUCAUCCGUCAGGAGCUGAGGAACAAGAAGUGGGUGAAUGAGCAGAGGUACGGCGGCUUCUCCCUGGGCGCYGGCAGCUCCCAGGCCCUGCCGUCGGCAGCAGAGGUGGAUCAGGCAGUGCUGGAGCUCCGGGUGCUGCUCAACAUCACCCCGGGCAGCCCCUCGGAUCGGCUCCUGGCCAACAUCAGCCGCUUCAUUGAGGGUUUGGAUGCCCGCAGGAACAUCAAGGUGUG
This 290-nucleotide long non-coding RNA is filed under the name Zosterops lateralis melanops. RNAcentral describes it as "lncRNA (ENSZLMG00000005369.1)". The record is from RNAcentral. Lineage: Eukaryota; Metazoa; Chordata; Aves; Passeriformes; Zosteropidae.